RNAcentral lists this long non-coding RNA (1463 nucleotides) under Salmo salar (Atlantic salmon). Its description in RNAcentral is "lncRNA (ENSSSAG00000092764.1, ENSSSAG00000119570.1)". Lineage: Eukaryota; Metazoa; Chordata; Actinopteri; Salmoniformes; Salmonidae. The record is from RNAcentral.
CGGAGAGGUUGUUGUUUUUUUCUUCAAUAAGUUUAACUGAGGUUGCAGAUUAAACACUAUAGAAGUAGGUCAAACAACUUGACCACUUCUUCACCACACGUGUCCGUUUAAGAGCCUGUUCUGAGCACAGAGAUCAGAGGAUUAAAAAGAUCAUAUCUCUUGAGUAUAAGUACCUCUAAUUGGCUCUCUCCUGCCAGAGAAGAGAGAUGUGUUUUAGAACAGAGAGAGGUGUGUUUUAGAACAGAGAGAUGUGUUUUAGAACAGAGAGAUGUGUUUUAGAACAGAGAGAUGUGUUUUUGAACAGAGAGAUGUGUUUUUGAACAGAGAGAUGUGUUUUAGAACAGAGAUGUGUUUUAGAACAGAGAGAUGUGUUUUAGAACAGAGAGAUGUGUUUUAGAACGGAGAGAGAUGUGUUUUAGAACGGAGAGAGAUGUGUUUUAGAACGGAGAGAGAUGUGUUUUAGAACAGAGAGAUGUGUUUUAGAACAGAGAGAUGUGUUUUAGAACAGAGAGAUGUGUUUUAGAACAGAGAGAUGUGUUUUAGAACAGAGAGAUGUGUUUUAGAACGGAGAGAGAUGUGUUUUAGAACGGAGAGAGAUGUGUUUUUGAACAGAGAGAUGUGUUUUAGAACAGAGAGAUGUGUUUUAGAACAGAGAGAGAUGUGUUUUAGAACAGAGAGAGAUGUGUUUUAGAACAGAGAGAUGUGUUUUAGAACAGAGAGAUGUGUUUUUGAACAGAGAGAUAUGUGUUUUUGAACAGAUAGAGAUGUGUUUUAGAACAGAGAGGUGUGUUUUAGAACAGAGAGAUGUGUUUUAGAACAGAGAGAGGUGUGUUUUAGAACAGAGAGAGGUGUGUUUUAGAAGAGAGAUGUGUGUUUUAGAACAGAGAGAUGUGUUUUGAACAGAGAUGUGUUUUAGAACAGAGAUGUGUUUUAGAACAGAGAUGUGUUUUGAACAGAGAUGUGUUUUGAACAGAGAGAGGUGUGUUUUAGAACAGAGAGAGAUGUGUUUUUGAACAGAGAUGUGUUUUUGAACAGAGAUGUGUUUUGAACAGAGAUGUGUUUUAGAACCGAGAGAGGUGUGUUUUAGAACCGAGAGAGGUGUGUUUUAGAACCGAGAGAGGUGUGUUUUAGAACCGAGAGAGGUGUGUUUUAGAACAGAGAGAGGUGUGUUUUAGAACAGAGAGAGAUGUGUUUUUGAACAGAGAUGUGUUUUUGAACAGAGAUGUGUUUUAGAACAGAGAUGUGUUUUGAACAGAGAUGUGUUUUAGAACCGAGAUGUGUUUUAGAACAGAGAGAUGUGUUUUAGAACAGAGAUGUGUUUUAGAACAGAGAUGUGUUUUAGCACAGAGCUCAGAACAGGCAUAAUAUGAGACACCAAGGUUAUUUCUCUAAAUUUCCUUCUAAUUUUUUCCAACACAGUCUCGAAGGUGUGUGUGUGUGUGUGUGUGUGUGUGUGUGUGUGU